CCUACGGGCGGCAGCAGUGGGGAAUAUUGGACAAUGGGCGAAAGCCUGAUCCAGCCAUGCCGCGUGUGUGAAGAAGGCCUUCGGGUUGUAAAGCACUUUCAGUGGGGAAGAAAGCCUUGGGGCUAAUACCCUCGAGGAAGGACAUCACCCACAGAAGAAGCACCGGCUAACUCCGUGCCCGCAGCCGCGGUAAUACGGAGGGUGCGAGCGUUAAUCGGAAUUACUGGGCGUAAAGCGCGCGUAGGCGGUCUGAUAAGCCGGUUGUGAAAGCCCCGGGCUCAACCUGGGAACGGCAUCCGGAACUGUCAGGCUAGAGUGCAGGAGAGGAAGGUAGAAUUCCCGGUGUAGCAGUGAAAUGCGUAGAGAUCGGGAGGAAUACCAGUGGCGAAGGCGGCCUUCUGGACUGACACUGACGCUGAGGUGCGAAAGCGUGGGUAGCAAACAGGAUUAGAUACCCUAGUAGUC
RNAcentral lists this ribosomal RNA (465 nucleotides) under Vreelandella stevensii. RNAcentral describes it as "partial 16S ribosomal RNA". It matches the Rfam family "Bacterial small subunit ribosomal RNA", at positions 338 to 795 of the family's 1533-position model. The record is from RNAcentral. Lineage: Bacteria; Pseudomonadati; Pseudomonadota; Gammaproteobacteria; Oceanospirillales; Halomonadaceae.